This 348-nucleotide transfer-messenger RNA is filed under the name Lachnospiraceae. RNAcentral's name for it is "UBA1066 sp018065025 Standard tmRNA". It matches the Rfam family "transfer-messenger RNA". Rfam says of the family: Bacterial tmRNA, also known as 10Sa RNA or SsrA, is named for its dual tRNA and mRNA-like properties. Its role is to liberate the mRNA from a stalled ribosome. RNAcentral also lists the same sequence under 1 other name. Lineage: Bacteria; Bacillati; Bacillota; Clostridia; Lachnospirales. The record is from RNAcentral.
GGGCUAGUAAAGGUUUCGACGGGGGUCUUGAAGUCAGGGAAGCCAUCCGUGGGCUCGUCCACGUAAAAACGGAAAUUUAAAUAUAAACGCAGACAACAAUAGAGUUGCCUUAGCAGCUUAAGCUGCUUCGUCGGCCCGCUAUUACCUGUGGUAGCGGAUCACCGGCGUCAUGAUCACAGGAAACGACACUGUCAAAGCUUUGAGGCAGCGGGCGUAUGAUGAAGCUACUGAUGAUGUAAGGAAGCUGCUUGCCGUGCAUCUGAGGGAAUGAAAAAGGAGUAGCUGUGAUGGGAGAUGCCUUGGGGGAUGGGCUUUCGGACGCGGGUUCGAUUCCCGCCUGGUCCAUAA